This 428-nucleotide ribosomal RNA is filed under the name uncultured bacterium. RNAcentral's name for it is "bacterial SSU rRNA". It matches the Rfam family "Bacterial small subunit ribosomal RNA", at positions 8 to 482 of the family's 1533-position model. The record is from RNAcentral.
AGAGUUUGAUCCUGGCUCAGAACGAACGCUGGCGGCAUGCCUAACACAUGCAAGUCGAACGAUCCCUUCGGGGAUAGUGGCGCACGGGUGCGUAACGCGUGGGAAUCUGCCCUUGGGUUCGGAAUAACAGUGAGAAAUUACUGCUAAUACCGGAUGAUGUCUUCGGACCAAAGAUUUAUCGCCCAAGGAUGAGCCCGCGUAGGAUUAGCUAGUUGGUGGGGUAAUGGCCUACCAAGGCGACGAUCCUUAGCUGGUCUGAGAGGAUGAUCAGCCACACUGGGACUGAGACACGGCCCAGACUCCUACGGGAGGCAGCAGUGGGGAAUAUUGGACAAUGGGCGAAAGCCUGAUCCAGCAAUGCCGCGUGAAUGAUGAAGGCCUUAGGGUUGUAAAGCUCUUUUACCCGGGAUGAUAAUGACAGUACCGGA